UGAAUUUUAAGCAUAUCACUAAGCGGAGAAAAAGAAAAUAACAAUGAUUCCUAGAGUAACGGCGAGUGAAAUAGGAAGAGCCCAUAGCCGAAUUCUGCUGUCCUCGAUGGCAGCUAGAAGUUGUGGCGUUGGGAACUGUCUAUUGUAACCGAUCGGCCGGGCUACGCGACUCCUCUUGAUUGUGGUUUGCCCAUAGCAGGUGAAAGGCCUAUUGGUCGUAGCCUCGUGCUGAAGGCCGGCGGUGAUGACAGUCCUUAGAGUCGGGUUGUUUGGGAUUGCAGCCCGAAGUAGGUGGUAAACUCCACCUAAGGCUAAAUACGAUCGCGAGUCCGAUAGCGCACAAGUACCGUGAGGGACAGUUGAAAAGAACUUUGAAGAGAGAGUUCAAAGUACGUGAAACCGUUCAGAGGUAAACGGGUAGAAAGUCGAAUUGAAGGUUGACAAUCAGACCGUUGGCAUAGUCGGGGUUGGGCUGGUAGCACGUUAAAGGCUGCCGGUUCGCUCGUAAGGCUGGCUACGGUUGUAUUUGUUGGCUUUACAUCGCCGCGACGACAGUCACUGACCGGCUGGCACGUGCCCCUCUGGUCGACGUGGAUCCGUAUGGGUCUUCUCAACGUCGGCACAAGGACAGGCGCCCCGCGUACAUGGCACAGUCGAUAAUAUACAGCGAUAUAAGCGUUCCAGCUGAUUGUCGUUCGUCUUGUAUUGGCAGGCCGAUCUUAAACAAGCUCGACUGUUGACAUCAGGGCGGCGGCAGUUGGUUUAACGACGGAACAAGCAUCGCAUUGGCGGCGUUUGACUACGAAUUAUCUACCUGACCCGUCUUGAAACACGGACCAAGGAGUCUAACAUGUGCGCGAGCCAUUGGGAUUUAAUAUAAUAAACCCAAAGGCAAAGUGAAAGCAAAAAUGGUGAGAUCCGUCGUUUAUUUGUUAAGAAUAGCGGCGGCGCAUCAUCGUCACGCUUCAAUUCGGCUUCGGCUGAAGAGGCGCAGACUGAGCGCACAAGUUGGGACCCGAAAGAUGGUGAACUAUGCGUGGCAAGGUCGAAGCCAGAGGAAACUCUGGUGGAGGACUGUAGCGGUUCUAACGUGCAAAUUGAUCGUGCUAACUGCGUAUAGGGGCGAAAGACUAAUCGAACCAUCUAGUAGCUGGUUCCCUCCGAAGUUUCCCUCAGGAUAGCUGGCACUUUCGGAGAGCAGUUUUGUCCGGUAAAGCGAAUGACUAGAGGCCUUGGGGACAUAACGACCUCAACCUAUUCUCAAACUUUGAAUGGGCAAGAAGAGUGACUCACUUAACUGGAGUCGCUUAAUGAAUGCUUGAGUGCCAAGUGGGCCAUUUUUGGUAAGCAGAACUGGCGCUGUGGGAUGAACCAAACGUCUAGCUAAGGCGCCAAAUGCUAACGCUCAUCCGAUCCCAUUAAAGGUGUUGGUUGAUAGAGACAGCAGGACGGU
Molecule: ribosomal RNA, 1453 nt
Filed under: Chaetonotus jaceki
Lineage: Eukaryota; Metazoa; Gastrotricha; Chaetonotida; Chaetonotidae
Description: eukaryotic LSU rRNA
Rfam family: Eukaryotic large subunit ribosomal RNA
Source: RNAcentral